RNAcentral lists this ribosomal RNA (407 nucleotides) under uncultured bacterium. RNAcentral describes it as "partial 16S ribosomal RNA". It matches the Rfam family "Bacterial small subunit ribosomal RNA", at positions 28 to 526 of the family's 1533-position model. The record is from RNAcentral.
GACGAACGCUGGCGGCGUGCCUAAUACAUGCAAGUAGGACGCAGUUGCGAACGGGGGAUUAACGCGUAGGUAACUGCCUAUUAGAGGGGGAUAAAUAUUGGAAACGAUAGCUAAUACCGCAUACUAGUAGAUGGACCUGAGUUGUAUUAGCUAGUAGGUAGGGUAAUGGCCUCCAUAGGCGACGAUACAUAGCCGACCUGGAGGGGUGAUCGACCAACCUUGGACUGGGACACGGGCCAGACUCCUACGGGAGGCAGCAUGAGGGAAUCUUCGGCAAUGGGGGGAACCCUGACCGAGCAACGCCGCGGGAGUGAAGAAGGUCUUCCGGUCGUAAAGCUCUGUUGUUAAGGAAGCGGUACUUAACCAGAAAGGGACGGCUAACUACGUGCCAGCAGCCGCGGUAAUUC